GAUGAAGAACGCAGCGAAAUGCGAUAAGUAGUGUGAAUUGCAGAAUUCAGUGAAUCAUCGAAUCUUUGAACGCACAUUGCGCCUCCUGGCAUUCCGGGAGGCAUGCCUGUUCGAGCGUCAUCAAACCCCAUCGUGCAAAUGAAUUAUUUUUUUUGCGCGGAAGUGACGAUUGAGCGAGAAUAACAAAUCCUCUCGCACCUCGUCGAAAUGAUUGCGGGCGGAAUUUGGGAUCGGGUUCCUCGGCGUAGUGUAUCAAUGCAUAUUUAUGCAACUUGCCGCGGAGUUGAGCCUGACCCACGCGUUCUCGCCGUACAAACACCUCAUUACCUUACAAGUUUUUGACCUCGGAUCAGGUAGGGAUACCCGCUGAACUUAAGCAUAUCAAUAAGCGGAGGA
This 396-nucleotide unclassified non-coding RNA is filed under the name soil metagenome. RNAcentral's name for it is "partial contains 5.8S ribosomal RNA, internal transcribed spacer 2, and large subunit ribosomal RNA". The stretch from base 1 to 120 matches the Rfam family "5.8S ribosomal RNA", at positions 35 to 154 of the family's 154-position model. The record is from RNAcentral.